This 376-nucleotide ribosomal RNA is filed under the name uncultured bacterium. RNAcentral's name for it is "bacterial SSU rRNA". It matches the Rfam family "Bacterial small subunit ribosomal RNA", at positions 30 to 416 of the family's 1533-position model. The record is from RNAcentral.
AUUGAACGCUGGCGGCAGGCCUAACACAUGCAAGUCGAGCGGGGGUAGCAAUACCCUAGCGGCGAACGGGUGAGGAAUGCUUGGGAAUCUGCCUGGUAGUGGGGGGAUAACGUUCCGAAAGGAACGCUAAUACCGCAUACGUCCUACGGGAGAAAGGGGGGGAUCUUCGGACCUCUCGCUAUCAGAUGAGCCCAAGCCGGAUUAGCUAGUUGGUGGGUAAAGGCCCACCAAGGCGACGAUCCGUAGCUGGUCUGAGAGGAUGAUCAGCCACACUGGAACUGAGACACGGUCCAGACUCCUACGGGAGGCAGCAGUGGGGAAUAUUGGACAAUGGGCGAAAGCCUGAUCCAGCCAUGCCGCGUGUGUGAAGAAGGCC